RNAcentral lists this ribosomal RNA (497 nucleotides) under uncultured bacterium. RNAcentral's name for it is "partial 16S ribosomal RNA". It matches the Rfam family "Bacterial small subunit ribosomal RNA", at positions 28 to 507 of the family's 1533-position model. The record is from RNAcentral.
GAUGAACGCUGGCGGCGUGCCUAAUACAUGCAAGUCGAGCGGACGGACGAGAAGCUUGCGUCUCUGAUGUUAGGGGAGGGCGGGAGAGUCACACGUGGAUACCCUACCUAUCAGACUGGGAUAACUUCGGGAAACCGGAGAUAAUACCGGAGGAUAUUUUGCACCGCAUGGUUCAAAAGUGAGAGACGGUGGUGCUGGAUCGUCUCGAUGGAUACCCGCUGCAUUAGCUGGUUGGUAAGGUAACGGCUUACCAAGGCAACGAGGCGUGGCCGAGCUGAGAGGCGGAUCGCCCACCCUGGAGCGUGGACACGGUCCAUGCUCCUACGGGAGGCAGCAGUAGGGAACGUUCCGCAAUGGUCGGAAGCCUGACGGAGCAACGCCGCGUGUGUGAUGAGGGUCUUCGGAGCGUAAAACCCUGUUAUGAGUGAAGAACAGAUGUGGAAGGAGCUGUGCACAGCCUGACGGUACCUAAUCAGAAAGCCACGGCUAACUACGUG